CCAGUUGGCUGGGCAGCCGCGCUUUACCAAUGCCGAAAGGCGGUAGGGUGAGGAAAGUCCGGGCUCCACGGAAGUACGGUGCCGGAUAACGUCCGGCGAGGGCGACCUCAGGGAAAGUGCCACAGAAAGCAAACCGCCCCGCCUGCUUUUCCGCCGCGAGCAAUGCGACGGAAAAGUUGGCGGGGUAAGGGUGAAAGGGUGGGGUAAGAGCCCACCGCGGGCCUGGCAACAGGAACGGCACGGUAAACCCCACCGGGAGCAAGACCGAAUAGGGAUGACGCGGACGGCGAAAGCCGUCCGGCCUGUUUCCGGGCCAGUCAUCCGGGUGGGUUGCGUGAGGCAGUGCGUAAGCGCUGUCCCAGAUGAAUGGCUGCCACGUUCCGGCGCAAGCCGGAGCCAUACAGAACCCGGCUUACAGGCCAACUGGCGCU
This 431-nucleotide RNase P RNA is filed under the name Rhizobium sp. BK251. RNAcentral describes it as "Bacterial RNase P class A". It matches the Rfam family "Bacterial RNase P class A". From Rfam's summary of the family: Ribonuclease P (RNase P) is a ubiquitous endoribonuclease, found in archaea, bacteria and eukarya as well as chloroplasts and mitochondria. Its best characterised activity is the generation of mature 5'-ends of tRNAs by cleaving the 5'-leader elements of precursor-tRNAs. Cellular RNase Ps are ribonucleoproteins. The record is from Rfam by way of RNAcentral. Lineage: Bacteria; Pseudomonadati; Pseudomonadota; Alphaproteobacteria; Hyphomicrobiales; Rhizobiaceae.